UUAUAAGAGACAGCAGUCGCCGCGGUAAUACAGAGGGUGCGAGCGUUAAUCGGAUUUACUGGGCGUAAAGCGUGCGUAGGCGGCUUCUUAAGUCGGAUGUGAAAUCCCUGAGCUUAACUUAGGAAUUGCAUUCGAUACUGGGAAGCUAGAGUAUGGGAGAGGAUGGUAGAAUUCCAGGUGUAGCGGUGAAAUGCGUAGAGAUCUGGAGGAAUACCGAUGGCGAAGGCAGCCAUCUGGCCUAAUACUGACGCUGAGGUACGAAAGCAUGGGGAGCAAACAGGAUUAGAUACCCGCGUAGUCCCUGUCUCUUAUAC
This 314-nucleotide ribosomal RNA is filed under the name uncultured bacterium. RNAcentral describes it as "partial 16S ribosomal RNA". It matches the Rfam family "Bacterial small subunit ribosomal RNA", at positions 499 to 807 of the family's 1533-position model. The record is from RNAcentral.